This is a long non-coding RNA of Myotis brandtii (Brandt's bat), 975 nucleotides long. RefSeq lists it as uncharacterized. NCBI's taxonomy places the organism in Eukaryota, Metazoa, Chordata, Mammalia, Chiroptera, Vespertilionidae. The record is from RefSeq and is a predicted model, not a curated record. The transcript has 3 exons.
GACGGCGAGAACAGAGGAAGCCAGCGGCCAAUGGGCAGCGCCGCUGGGGGCGGGAGCAGGGAGAUAAGGAAAUUCUGUCACCGCGGUUAACACGCACGUGGAGGUUUGUUAAAGCAGGUGCCCUUCUCCUCUCCUCAGACUCAGCCAUCCACGGCUGUGAGGACAGCUGGUCCUGCCUUCCCUGGACUGUCCCCUCCAGCCAACAUAAAGCCUGAGAUAACACGAAGAUGCUGAGAUUAUACCAGGAGCAGCUUCCGUAACUGCACCGUGAACCUAUGGAGCCCUCUCUGUGGGGCACUGCUGACUCUCCCGAGGUCAGAACCCCUGCAUGGUGGGUGGGGAAGCCCCCUCCCCCAGCUACUCCUCCAGCCCUGACCCAGGUUUCCUGCUCUGCUGCUGUGGCCAGACGCCACGCCAGCCUGGAAGAGAAGCUUGGCUCAGUCAGGAUCCCUGACGAGGAGGACACAUCUACUCCAUGCCCAAGUCCUGGGUGCUUUAUGCUCAGCCUUCACCACAAAGGCCCAACGGCCCAGUCAUUACUACCCUGGACUCCAACUGUUUGGAGACCUGGCGGGGCUCUGAGUGAGCCUUCAGUUAGGAAGCCACAGCAGAAUCUACCGAAGCAAGCUGCAGACUGCUGGCGCUCGACGUUGCACCAUUUCAAUUUGGUUUCAUUUUCCUCCCCAGCUGGCUCUUGAAAUACUCCUCUAGAUUGCAAGCCGAUGUUUGUAUCUCUCCUAGGAUCACUCAGAGUUUUGUGGCCCCUGGGCAACCAAAACAGAGAGGAUCUCGCUCCCCGCCAUUGCAGAAUUAUACCGAGAUUAACCAUAAAAGGGAGAAGAGAAGCAUUUCCCGUUGGUGUCUGGAAAUGAGAAGUGGUUAAGAAAUGGCGCAGAUAGUAACUACAAGACUCUGAUCAAAGUACUUUAGAAGCGCAUUAAUUUGGAACCUUAUAUUUAAAAUGUGUAAUCUGGA